Molecule: small RNA, 134 nt
Filed under: Escherichia coli
Lineage: Bacteria; Pseudomonadati; Pseudomonadota; Gammaproteobacteria; Enterobacterales; Enterobacteriaceae
Description: RtT sRNA
Rfam family: RtT RNA
About the family: This family represents a bacterial cis-regulatory element known as RtT RNA.
Source: RNAcentral
UGCAUUUGAAGCCCAUGAGGAUGAGAACCUCCGGGGGCGGGGAGGUUCGACUCGAGCGAAGCGAGAGAACGUUGCGCCAGCAACGGCCCGCAGGGCGAGCCACGAAGUAGCGAGUAAUCCUCUAUCACCGACCA